This 769-nucleotide long non-coding RNA is filed under the name Homo sapiens (human). RNAcentral's name for it is "HSALNT0347246". Lineage: Eukaryota; Metazoa; Chordata; Mammalia; Primates; Hominidae. The record is from RNAcentral.
UCUGCCUAUAGAGGCCUGGGGUCCCUUUGGCAGCACUUUUCUCAAGAAAGUAGAGUCGUGGACAACCAACUGCACAGGUUGGGAGGCUUUGAAGAACAAGCUGCCAUGAAUCCUGCAGCUACAAGGAAAUGAACUCUAUUAACUUGAGUGAGCUUAAAACUAGAUCCUUCCCCAGUCAAGCCUCCAGGUGAGAAUUCAAUCCUGGCUGGCACCUGGAUUGCAGCUUACAGAAGACCCAGCUAAGGCCAUGUCUGGACUUUAAAUCCACAGGAACUGCAAGAUGGUAUCAGAAGUGGGACCUGCAGUGGGGCAUCUAGCAACCCCCAGGAGCAUUGAGUGACCAGGCUUGGGACCCACCGGGCGCAGGGUGUCCAUUGUUCUCUCGAAGCAACUGAGAAUUGUGGAUAUUCUUCAUUAUUCCAUCAUCAUCUCAAACCUCUUGGGUAUAGUGUUUGACUACUACUGUGACCAUAAAUUCCAAUAAAACCUAGGAAAAAUGAAACCACUACAUUAACUGAAAGGAUGUGCCUGUCACAGUCUCCACCAGAAGCUUUAUCUUACUACAGAGUCCAGAUGCAUUAAGGCUGUGUUCGAGCCAUGAUCUUCCUCUGAAGAAGAAAUGAAGAAGAAAUUUAUCUUAUUUUUGGAUAUAGUGUUCUUAGUUGGCAGUUUAAUUAUUAUUUUUACUUCAUCACUUUGUAUACGUCAUCGCACUUUCUCCUGGCCUAUAAGAUCUCUCCUGAGAAAUUUUACGUUCUACUUUACUGGA